Molecule: long non-coding RNA, 1670 nt
Organism: Pezoporus occidentalis (night parrot)
Lineage: Eukaryota; Metazoa; Chordata; Aves; Psittaciformes; Psittacidae
Exons: 2
Source: RefSeq, a predicted model, not a curated record
UCCCUGGUGCACAGUGACACAAAAGUGCCUCAGCCUUCUCCAACUGCAGCCAGCCAGACAUCACUUUCCUGUUAGAAAGGCAUAGUAUUGCAUGAUAAAACAAACACAAAAAAGACAAAAAGGAGCUGCUCUCAUCCUCAUGUAUGACACUGAGAAGGUAUUAGCUUGGGAUUUAUCCAAGUGGCCUUCCAUGCACCGCUGGACAGCGGUGUUCUAGGUCUUCAAGGUGGUACGGUAGUUGUGGUAGUAACAAUGGUUUAUGGGCAAAUAAAUUCCUGAAAAUGUUUUGAAGCUGGGAGAAUUUGCUGAUGGCUACUCCAAGGCAUCAACCCAUGCAGUUAGUUACUUUACUAAGGAAACAUUUCACUGUUUUCAGAAGAUGAGUUUCAUCUUCAAAAUAUCUCUUCAGCUUCAGGUUCAAAUCCCCCACUAAUGCAGGAGAGCACACAUCUCAGCUGAAAUGAACAGGACUCCAUCCCCUUCCCUCUUCAGUAAAUUAAUACUGCUUAUCCCUUUUCACCUGAUCUGUUCAGCACAAAGAGUCAAAUUAUACUGUCAGCAUUUGAAGAAAAAGGCCUGUUUAGUUUUCAAGGCAACAAAAUACAGGGAGAGGAAAGAGGUAUUUGUGUUUAGCUUCCUUCAAUGAGUGGUUACACUGUUAAAUGUCAUGCUGUGCUUACUCUGCUUGCAUCUACUCACCUGAGCAGGAUCAACUAUCUAGGAUGAUAGUUUUAUCUGGAUAUUUUCAAGACCAAGUUGGAGGGUAAUUCAGAAGCCAGUUUUGAAAACAGUCGCGCAUCCGAUAAUAUGACAACAAAAAAGAAGAAUGGCUCCUUAAUUCUUUGCUCUACUGUGACAAGAGCUUAGCUGGUUUUUGCAUCUAGCUAACGGAAUGCUAAUUUCAAGGAGGUAAGCAUAUCCUGAUUCAGUUUGUCACCUACCUGUAUUCUAAACCUGGGCAAGCCUGGCUCAGUAUCACGCAACACCAACUGGUAUUGAGGUGAAUACCAACACACUAGAGGUUAUUUGGUUGGGAAAAUGUGGGUAAACAGCAGUGUUCCCUCAUGGAUUCUCACAGGUCUUAACUCCAUGCGCUUUGGGUCUCUGCUGCUGGAGGCCCUUGUGAGCUGUUCAGCCCAUCUGUCUUCACCUUCCAGGUCUCAGCUGAAACUGCAGAGCUGAAGCGGACUCUGGGCAGCUGAGAAGGAGACCUGGAUGUUCCUGAAGACAUCUCUGCAGGGGCUGGUAACCAGUAAUCCAGGCACACAGGAGACAUGGACCCUGGGUCUUCAUUUCAGGGGAGCCAAGACCAGAAGACCAGUUAUUAGGGUCACCAUUAAUACCCUUAUUUAAUACCCUUAACUUACCUGACGCAAGUUGAGUCGUUCUGCAAGAUUUAUACCUCCUGCUCUCCACAGGCACCUCUUGCCUCUUUUUGCUUGGCCUCUGCACAGUCUGAGGCCUUUACUUACCACAGCAAUCACAAUGUACCUGUUUCUGUUCAGCAUGCUACUGUGUGAGCCUUUGUAAAAGCAGAACUUUUAAGGUGUCUUUUAACUAACUCAGUUUAAACGGCACAUAUUAAACAUUGCUUAUCAUUUACUGACCACAUAGGAACACUCAACAUUUGCACAAACUACAUUAAAAAUAUUUGACAAAGUCAUACAAAA